Molecule: small nuclear RNA, 336 nt
Filed under: Camelus ferus (Wild Bactrian camel)
Lineage: Eukaryota; Metazoa; Chordata; Mammalia; Artiodactyla; Camelidae
Description: 7SK RNA
Rfam family: 7SK RNA
About the family: 7SK was discovered as an abundant small nuclear RNA in the mid-70s but a possible function has only recently been suggested. Two independent studies have found that 7SK RNA binds the CDK9/cyclin T complex (known as elongation factor P-TEFb).
Source: Rfam by way of RNAcentral
UGAUAUAAGGGUAACCUGGCUGCAACAUUCAUCGCCCCCACUGAGUGCCAGGGUUGAUUUGGCUGAUCUGGCUGGCUAGGCGAGUGUGCCCUUUCUCCCUCCUCACUCCAUGUGUGUUCCUCCUGAAGCUGCACGCUUAGUUGAAGAGGAUGACCUUCCCUGAUAGUGGAGGACCAUUUUUCAGUCAAUGGUAUAUGAAUAGCUGAGCUCUGCUACUAGAACCUCCAAACAAGCUCUCAAAGUCCAUUUGUAGGACAAAUGUAAGGAUAGUCAAACUUUCAAGACUUUCAAGACACAUCCAACUGAGGUCCUGAACAUGGCAGUCUGCCUUUUAAA